Molecule: non-coding RNA, 688 nt
Filed under: Pongo abelii (Sumatran orangutan)
Lineage: Eukaryota; Metazoa; Chordata; Mammalia; Primates; Hominidae
Source: RNAcentral
UGACCCAUCCUCCGUGCUUGAAAUCGAUUUAGUGGACCCUGGCUAGCAUAUUUGUCCCUGCCAAGAUUAUUGCAAAAAGACGAUGUGGUAGUUAAUAUCAGAAAGAAUGUGUGGUUAAUAUCAGGAAGAACACGUGAAAUGGAGAAUUUCAGGGCUAACAUUUCUUGUUUUGUUUCUGAAAACAUCGGCAUGUCCUAAAAAGUGUCGCCUGUGCCCAUCAUCUCACAGGCUUGGGAGCAGGACACCGCCGGCUCACUUUAAAGCCAAGGGAAAGAAUUUGGACAACAAUCUGGAGAAGACAUCAGUGUCAGCAGAGCUCCACUUUCAUCUGUGGGCGAAGGAUUACCUAGGUGCCAAGUCAAGAGACUGAAGACACAAACUGUUUCAGUAUAAUAAAGAAAAUAGGCCGGGCGCGGUGGCUCACACCUGUAAUCCCAGCACUUUGGGAGGCCGAGGUGGGAGGAUCAAGAAGUCAGGAGAUCAAGACCAUCCUGGCUAACAUGCUACCUAAAAGGGAAGGGCCCCUGUCCUAUGAUCACGUGACUUGCUUCACCUUGUCAAUCACUUGGAAGAUUCACCCUCCUUGUCUUGUAUGCAGUAAAUACCAGUGCGCCCAGCCGUUCGGGACCACUACUGGUCUCCGCGUCUUGAUGGUAGUGGUCCCCCGGGCCCAGCAGUUCUCUCUUUA